CUAGUUUUCUUUGAUACUUGGGUGGGAAGAUAAUGUGGUGGCACCAAAGGUAAAAUUCGUGUCUUAUAAGGGACCUGCAUUCUAUAUCCUUCAUGUAAGAUUGGUAUUUGUUGAUUGCAAGUAGUAGAAAGGCAGCUCAAAUUCAUAUAAUAAAUAAAGGUAUUGUUGGCUUAUGUACCUGGAAAAUACAGUGGUGCAUCUGACUUCAGGAAUGAUCGGAAUUAGAGGCCCAAAUAUUGGCAUGGAAACACUAUCCACGUCUAGCCUGGCUUUCCGUUCUAUAUCUUGGUGUCGUUCUCAAAUACUUUUUCUUUUUUUAUGGUAACCACCAGCACCUUCAGGUUUAUAAUCUUAGUUGUUAAAGAGUGGGAAAAGAGAUCUCCUUAUUAUCAAUACUUACAGCAAAAAUUUCAGGUAUGAUCCUACUUGGCCCAGUCUCAAUCAUAUGCCCAUAGCUGAACUAAUUACUGUGAUCAAAGACAUGGUGUCCUAAUAACCUAGGGCUAAAUCAUCACAUUGAUAGAUGUGGGAGAAAAGGAGUUCCCUGAAGAGGGGCAUGGCCAGCAAAAAGCAUAAACUUUUAAAUAUACUGCAGCAUAAAAUAAGUUGGAGCUACUCUAAUAUAGGGAUAUUUGAAUUUCAUUUAAGGCAAAUCGCAUAGUCUCUUUUUCAAGAAAAUAGCUGUUGACUUGACCAACGUAACAUAUAACAAUCUUUAACAUUCAGAGAUACUAUAGGAGAAUGCCUAAACUUUUAGCUGAACCGUGAGUCCAGAAUGCUGACCUUCCAUAGAAGUCAAAAUGAUCUUACCAAUAAAUACUACCUCGAUGGGAACAAGUGUAUUAGACUCUUCUUCAAGGACUGUUUGGAACAAGAUGAGAAUGAAUGCCCCAAGCACCCUGCAGUGGAGUGCUUACAGGCACUUGGAGCUCUGAAGAUAAAGUUUGCCAACUUGAAACCUUUUCCUGGACUGGCUCAUCACUGGGUCAGUCGUCUCAUAUUUGAACAAAAGAAAACAAAUGUGAUAUUUAAAACUAGAGAUAUGUCUAUAUUGGAAGAAAAAGGACAAGAAUAACUACUAUGAUGAAAACCACCCUUGUGUAAGAAAAUGUUAAGGAAAGGUCUCAGACCAAUCUGGAUGAGAGAGGUCAAGACCCAGGAGAAGCAAAAUUGCUCUGGCAAUAAAGCGACAAUCUUUUCUACCAGCCAUGCAGAGAAACGAGAGUGUAAGAGUGUAUUCUAGCAACAUGUCAAUGGACUUGAAUCUAAGGAAAGAAACAAGAGAGCCCCCCUGAGUGAGGCGAUGGACAAUGGAUUUAGCAACAGUAGAGUUCAGAUUUACUCCUGGUUUUCUUUCAUAAUUACCUUCUGUUACAUCAAUUAUGAGCUGAUCUUGGAUCAUUUUGUCAUGCACAACUCUUAGGCUCUUUUUUGUGAAUAACACUGGCCUCGAAAGAAGUUUAAAGUAAGUAAAGGUUAGCUACUGCCACAUAACCUUGCUAUAAUAAAGGUAAACUUACUAGUAGUGAAAACAAGUCUCUGACCAUAUCCGGC
This is a long non-coding RNA of Macaca mulatta (Rhesus monkey), 1554 nucleotides long. The record is from Ensembl. Lineage: Eukaryota; Metazoa; Chordata; Mammalia; Primates; Cercopithecidae.